Molecule: ribosomal RNA, 465 nt
Filed under: uncultured bacterium
Lineage: Bacteria
Description: bacterial SSU rRNA
Rfam family: Bacterial small subunit ribosomal RNA
Source: RNAcentral
GACCAGACUCCUACGGGAGGCAGCAGUGAGGAAUAUUGGUCAAUGGACGCAAGUCUGAACCAGCCAUGCCGCGUGCAGGAAGACGGCUCUAUGAGUUGUAAACUGCUUUUGUACGAGGGUAAAUGCAGGUACGUGUAUCUGUUUGAAAGUAUCGUACGAAUAAGGAUCGGCUAACUCCGUGCCAGCAGCCGCGGUAAUACGGAGGAUGCGAGCGUUAUCCGGAUUUAUUGGGUUUAAAGGGUGCGUAGGCGGAAUGCAAAGGCGGGGGUAAUUGGGGGGGCUCACCCUCGCUCCGCCGUUGAAACUGGCGUUCUUGAGUGGGCGAGAAGUAUGCGGAAUGCGUGGUGUAGCGGUGAAAUGCAUAGAUAUCACGCAGAACUCCGAUUGCGAAGGCAGCAUACCGGCGCCCUACUGACGCUGAGGCACGAAAGCGUGGGUAUCGAACAGGAUUAGAUACCCCUGUAA